RNAcentral lists this transfer RNA (69 nucleotides) under Fukomys damarensis (Damara mole-rat). It matches the Rfam family "tRNA". Rfam says of the family: Transfer RNA (tRNA) molecules are approximately 80 nucleotides in length. Their secondary structure includes four short double-helical elements and three loops (D, anti-codon, and T loops). The record is from Rfam by way of RNAcentral. Lineage: Eukaryota; Metazoa; Chordata; Mammalia; Rodentia; Bathyergidae.
GGUGAUGUAGCUCAGUGGUAGAGCACUUGCCUCGCAUGUGAAAGGCCCUAGGUUCAAUCCCCAGUACCC